UACGAAGGUGGCGAGCGUUGUUCGGAAUCACUGGGCUUAAAGCGCACGCAGCGGAAUAGAAAGUGUCUUGUGAAAGCCCCCGGCUUAACCGGGGAAUUGCUUGGCAAACUGCUAUUCUUGAGGUAAGUAGGGGUACAUGGAACUCUUGGUGGAGCGGUGGAAUGCGUAGAUAUCAAGAGGAACGCCAAUGGUGAAGACAGUGUACUGGGCUUAUUCUGACGCUGAGGUGCGAAAGCGUGGGGAGCGAACGGGAUUAGAUACCCUCGUA
Molecule: ribosomal RNA, 268 nt
Filed under: uncultured prokaryote
Description: partial 16S ribosomal RNA
Rfam family: Bacterial small subunit ribosomal RNA
Source: RNAcentral